This is a long non-coding RNA of Rhopalosiphum padi (bird cherry-oat aphid), 2125 nucleotides long. RefSeq lists it as uncharacterized. NCBI's taxonomy places the organism in Eukaryota, Metazoa, Arthropoda, Insecta, Hemiptera, Aphididae. The transcript is spliced from 10 exons. The record is from RefSeq and is a predicted model, not a curated record.
UCCAUACUGGCAUAUUUCACGAGUUGAAACAAUGAAAAAAAUCUAACUUUUUAUUUGUACGUCACGUUGCAAAUGUAUAAUAUUUUGUUAUUUUAACCUUUCCGUCACCAGCUAAAUUCGAGUUCAAAUUUCCAAAGCAGUACACAGCAGACGAAGAGUCAAUGGGGUUGAAAUGUCUUAACAAAACGUCGAUCGGCCCAACAAGGAUGAGAUUUGUAGUCAUUGGCAUUAUGUCCAUCACGUUUUUAAUCCAAGUACAUAAUCAUAUUUGAAGAUUUAGCGCCUUGGCCCCUGAGUCUUGACAUUUUCUCAGUCCAUUUGGAGCGCCAUUUAUCAACCGGCUUUAUUGGCUUUUCCAGACUGGACUAGCCGAUCGCUGUCCUUAUUGCCCAUAUGGGGCAAUGUGAUGACUGCAGUGUUAGUGUUACCAGUAUGUCUAAUGGUCGAUAAAUAUGGAUUAAAAGAAAUCCUGUCAUAUUCGUGCUGUUUUUUCACGUUGGGCACGGCUGUUCGAUGUAUGCCAAUUAUGUACUCUUGUACGCUGUGUUUGCACUUGUCAGCCGUAUGUCUGUCUGUGGGCAGCGUGGUUACAACACCUUUAAUUAUAACAAUGUCGAGACAGUGGUUUCCCAAGAAAGAAAGAAAUAUGGCUAUUGGUUUAUGCUCGGCCGUGAGUACGUUGGGAUCGGCGGCAACGUACAUUAUUGGUCCCAUAAUGGUGUCUACGACCUCUGACGGACCAUUAAGCCGGUACGUCGUAAGAAUUCAGAUUAUGCACAUAAUGUAUACAUGUAUGGAGACUUAAACGCUUUGCGCGUCCCUAAAAUAAAUAUAUUACAAUGGUAUCGUCCAUACCAUAUGUGUAUACUUACAGGUCUGGGUUUAAACGCGUUAGUCACUCUUAUGGUUUAUCUAUUGUUUCCGAAAUACAUUAUGCCGCUGAGUUGCAACGAGUCUAUAUGGUCAGCAGAGUCGCACUAUAGCGCUUGCAAACUGUUUUGCUCGCUCAAAACACUUGUCAUGAAUUUCGAAUUGUGGUGUCUUGUAUUAGUGCUCGCGUUGUCCAACUUGAUGGCGGUCCCGUGGUUGAUGCUAAUACCGUCGACUUUUUCCAAACUCAACGUGUCACCUGAAAUCACUACACAAUGUUGUUUUUUCAUAAUCAUUCAUACUUUUGGUCUAAAACUGUCAAUCAGCAGUUUUGCGGACCGUGACCCUCGCUACACCAAGGUAUUCAUUAUGAUCAGUCGUUUCGUGUCGCUAAUCUUUUUCCUGUGGUUAAUGCUCAUGUUGAAUUUCAACGCCAAACUCACGACUACUAGACUGUUUUGUGCUGUUCUGAUAGCUUUCCCAUACAGCUUUUGUAGCCAGUCGCUCCUGUGUGAAAUGGGCGUCGAACUGAUGUGUUCGUUACCCGAGAGCUUCGUCGCGGGUUACAUAACGGUGAUGAACAAUUUGUUUGUGGAUUUCAUAUAUGUGGUGUUGUAUUUUUUCCCCCGUUUCGGUAAUACUAUAACUAUUAGAUUUUAUAAAUCAGUCCGCUGAAUGGUAGUACACUGAAUAAAUAUAUUAUGAUGUAUAUAGAAUUAAGUUUUAACCAAUUCGCACCGUAUUAAAAAGUUUACGUAUAAAUGAGGUAUAUCAUACGUGAAAAUAUCAAUAAAACUUUUUAUACUUGAUUUGUUUUUCCAGUGUUCCAGUUAUUUUUGUGGAGUGUUACAUUUUUAUUUUUCAGACGAAUACUGGCUGAACAUUGGUAUAUUCGUUUUCUCGGCUCUAAGCUUAUUCUUUCUGUGUCUUGUCGCGGACGUGACUAGAGAAAAAAAACAAUUCAAUCAACACAUAUUAAAUUAUUUUGAUUUUAUAGCUACGCUUGAUGUCUCAAAAACCAACACAACUAAACAAACAACCAACUUUUAAUCCUUCUAUGUUACAUAAUAAUAGAUAAUUAUUUAUUUUGGUAAGUAGCAAGAACUUACGUGUCCAGUUGGAAAUACCUUUAAUUAUAUUAAAUAUUUUUAUGCCAUGUUAAUUCAAUGAUAAAUAAUACGAGUAUGAGUUAUAGUAUUAUUUUUUUCGAAAAUGUUAAUUUAUCAUGACCUAAAAUUAUUUUAAACAUUUUUGA